Molecule: ribosomal RNA, 508 nt
Filed under: Salmonella enterica subsp. enterica
Lineage: Bacteria; Pseudomonadati; Pseudomonadota; Gammaproteobacteria; Enterobacterales; Enterobacteriaceae
Description: partial 23S ribosomal RNA
Rfam family: Bacterial large subunit ribosomal RNA
Source: RNAcentral
GAAGGUGUGUCGUGAGGCAUGCUGGAGGUAUCAGAAGUGCGAAUGCUGACAUAAGUAACGAUAAAGCGGGUGAAAAGCCCGCUCGCCGGAAGACCAAGGGUUCCUGUCCAACGUUAAUCGGGGCAGGGUGAGUCGACCCCUAAGGCGAGGCCGAAAGGCGUAGUCGAUGGGAAACGGGUUAAUAUUCCCGUACUUGGUGUUACUGCGAAGGGGGGACGGAGAAGGCUAUGUUGGCCGGGCGACGGUUGUCCCGGUUUAAGCGUGUAGGUGUGUGUUCCAGGUAAAUCCGGUUCACUUUAACACUGAGGCGUGAUGACGAGGCACUACGGUGCUGAAGCAACAAAUGCCCUGCUUCCAGGAAAAGCCUCUAAGCAUCAGGUAACAUCAAAUCGUACCCCAAACCGACACAGGUGGUCAGGUAGAGAAUACCAAGGCGCUUGAGAGAACUCGGGUGAAGGAACUAGGCAAAAUGGUGCCGUAACUUCGGGAGAAGGCACGCUGACACGUA